GACGAACCGGACGAACGUUAUUCGGAAUUACUGGGCUUAAAGGGUACGUAGGCGGUCCGGUAAGUGGGGUGUGAAAUCCCUCGGCUCAACCGAGGAACGGCGCCCCAUACUGCCAGACUGGAGGGAGACAGAGGUGAGCGGAACUGAUGGUGGAGCGGUGAAAUGCGUUGAUAUCAUCAGGAACACCGGUGGCGAAAGCGGCUCACUGGGUCUCUUCUGACGCUGAGGUACGAAAGCUAGGGGAGCGAACGGG
RNAcentral lists this ribosomal RNA (253 nucleotides) under uncultured bacterium. Its description in RNAcentral is "partial 16S ribosomal RNA". It matches the Rfam family "Bacterial small subunit ribosomal RNA", at positions 524 to 776 of the family's 1533-position model. The record is from RNAcentral.